UACGGGGGGGGCAAGCGUUGUUCGGAAUUACUGGGCGUAAAGGGCUCGUAGGCGGCCAACUAAGUCAGACGUGAAAUCCCUCGGCUUAACCGGGGAACUGCGUCUGAUACUGGAUGGCUUGAAUCCGGGAGAGGGAUGCGGAAUUCCAGGUGUAGCGGUGAAAUGCGUAGAUAUCUGGAGGAACACCGGUGGCGAAGGCGGCAUCCUGGACCGGCAUUGACACUGAGGAGCGAAAGCCAGGGGAGCAAACGGG
Molecule: ribosomal RNA, 253 nt
Filed under: uncultured bacterium
Lineage: Bacteria
Description: partial 16S ribosomal RNA
Rfam family: Bacterial small subunit ribosomal RNA
Source: RNAcentral